GAUCCAUCAGCUUCUUCAGCUGAGAGCCCCUGGUCGACAUACCAGAAUUCUGUUUUUCUAAAACUGUCCAAAAUCUCAAGAAGCAUAUUAUCUAGUUUUCGGAGUGCUGGAAGGUUGGCAUAAAGAUCCAACCGCGGCCUAGAAGUCAUCACCUCAAGCUUAGUGCCAUCAGGAAAUGUCUGCCAAGAGGGUGUCAAUUCUACAAUGUAAUCACUAACACAAAGAAGCCAUUCCAUUUCUCUCCUCCACAUUAACCUCUUCUCUGAAGGUAAAGGUUCCAAUCUCCAAAUUUGU
Molecule: unclassified non-coding RNA, 294 nt
Filed under: Hevea brasiliensis (rubber tree)
Lineage: Eukaryota; Viridiplantae; Streptophyta; Magnoliopsida; Malpighiales; Euphorbiaceae
Source: RNAcentral